UAGAAACCUUACUUACUUGGUCCUUCUCAGAUUUACUGAUUUUGUCUCCGCUGCCUCCUCCUUCUCCUCCUGGGUCUCUCAUUGUUGUCUUCCUCUCUGUUCGCCUCAGUCACAGAUAACGGAGGGAAAGGCUUCAGGGUUUCUUCCUUACCAUUUUCCACGGAUGAAGCUCAUUUCCUAAGAUUGGUGUAACAGAAUGUGCCCAAAAAAUAAUAGGGAAAUGCCAUUUCAGGACAGUGGGUGCAGAGCAGACACGCUAAACAGUGUUGGCCAGGUUGUGAAGCUGGCACGUCCCAAACUGGCAGCCACGCUGAGGUGCCCGCCUUGGACGCAGUUUUACUGCCAUUCUGUUGAGUGCUUCCAGGUCCACAUGUUUGUCCUCUGAAUGAAAUGGGAUGAUCUUCAGUGCCUGAGCGAAGUGCUCCUGUGUUGUCUCUGAGAUUUCAACUGCUGAAGCCUGGACAGUGUCCGCUUCAAGGACAAUAUUUGCGUCUGCCCUAUGAGAGAGAAAUUAGGAACUUUAAUAUGUAUAUUUAAUUCAUACAGAUGAACUUGUAUUAAGUUUUUUUUUGUUUCAGUCAAUUUCCAAUAGUUUCCAAAAAGUUAAGGAUUCUGUGAUAACCUUAAUAAAGUAGAAUAAGAAUAGA
This is a long non-coding RNA of Notolabrus celidotus (New Zealand spotty), 647 nucleotides long. RefSeq lists it as uncharacterized. The record is from RefSeq and is a predicted model, not a curated record. The transcript is spliced from 3 exons. Lineage: Eukaryota; Metazoa; Chordata; Actinopteri; Labriformes; Labridae.